UGGAUAAGGUAACAAUAAAGUAUGAUCACAACUCUAAAACAUUUGCAGGCUUGAAUUGAUUUAAAAAAAAAAAAAAAAAAUCACAGAUCUGAUAUUCGAAAAGAUCUCAAUAUAAUAUUAUUGUUUUUAUCUGCAAAUCCUUUUAUUAUUUUUAUUUUGCGGCACAAUAAUUGAUCUUCAGUGGAUUCACUCCAGGGGGCGAAGUAUCCGCAUCCACUUCAGGUUUGGUGAACUUUGACACCAAAGUCAAUCCGUCGUCCAAUGACGAACAGUCUUCUUCAUACUGGCAAAUGUACGACCACUUUUAUCCUGUCUCUCACCGUGGAAGGAGUAGAAACUGCUUCUCUUAAGAGGAAUAAUUUACAUGACAGGAGUCGUGGAUACCACGAAAGAAGUGGAAAGCAUCAAUGGAUGAAAUGGAUCGGACCCUUUGCAGGCAACCAGCAUUAUGCUAGAAAAUGUGGGCCCUUAGGAGUGUCGCUUCCAGCCACACAGCAAACUACCCCAUCCCCGACAAACAACAAGUGAACCAGAGAUCUCCCCCUGUCCCAAUGCACUAGACACUUACAGCUCCAACACUGGGCAAAGCACUCCACUGCAGCUUUUGCAGCUGGGCUGCCCUGCCUCACUUGGAUGCAUCAACAAAGCUUGAAGUGGCCACUCUAAUCUGGUUAAGUAUUGCCUGGUUGGGGAGAAAUUAGCUGAAUUCUUUUAACUUUUCAAACAAACAUAAUACAGUCAAACUUGCUGGAUGAGAAUCAAUUACAUGAACUGAAAAUAGGUUCGGGGGGGGGGGGGGUUAUCAUUUCACUUCUGGAAAUCAUCUAAUACAUCUAUUCAAUGGCAUAUGCCUGUAGUGUCACAUCGAAGCCAUAUUUCAGUCCAGAGAAAUGAAUGAAGCAGAGGAGUAUCUGUUGAAACACUGCCGGAAUACGUUUCAUAAAUCUUUUUUCACCCAGCGGUGAUAUUGCCAUUAUCAGCAUUACUUAAAAAAAUGGUUAUUCCCUGCCUAAAUCCAUAAGAUAUUGUCAGGAAUAAUGGGAUAAUUUCAGGGUAAUCGCAUAGUUUCUCAGUAUGAUUGGUUGGAUUGGUGACUGCAAACUAUUGUCCUUGUUGUUUAUUAAAUAAAAUAACACCCAUCUAAAACAAAAAAAUUAACUUAUUCAGCAUUUUUAUUUCUGCGAAGGUUGAGAAAUGUUGUUUUCCUAAAAUACACAUUGCUUUGAGGGCACCAGAAUAAACAGUGUGUCUGUCAGGGUGUCUGUUUGGUUUAAUAAUCCAAAGUGAUGAAGAAUUUCGUCUACCAUCUUAAAACUUUGAUAUAGCCAUGCCAUCCAUGAAACAAUUCUGAUUAGUUAUCAUUAAAUAAAUCACAUUUUCACUUAAGUCAUGUAUGUUUGUGUUUCUAAAGCUAAGAAUAUCCAUCUAUGUACCUGUCAGGCAACAGUGUGAGUAGAUUAAUUACCCCAGGGAUAGUAAAAGAAAUCUCUAGUUUAAUACUAUUUCACAAUCAACAUCUUCUCUUUUCAAGUGAUAAGAUUGUGAAAAAAAAACGACAUCUUUUAUUAUCGUCUUGCCUAACAGAUGGUAUCGAGGGGAAAGAAAGAAUAUGAUCACAAUACAAACAUUUUUGUUGUAUUGAACAUUUUCUUCCAUUGGAUCUUUAGGGCAGAUUGUCUCCAUUUUUCAAUGUGUCUAAACCCUUUGUUUGAGAGAGAUCUGUUAAAUCUGUCUUGCUGCUAAUAAACUGCCAUU
Long non-coding RNA from Seriola aureovittata, 1755 nucleotides. RefSeq lists it as uncharacterized. The transcript is spliced from 4 exons. NCBI's taxonomy places the organism in Eukaryota, Metazoa, Chordata, Actinopteri, Carangiformes, Carangidae. The record is from RefSeq and is a predicted model, not a curated record.